CUCAUUUCGUGUGUAUCACUGAGUGGAAGAAGUGCAGCCCUCCCUCCUCCUUACAGCAGAGCAGACACUGAAGGCAGCCGUAGUCACGCCGCUUCUGGUUACCAUGGUAACGGUCGGCCCUCUGCAGUGGAGCAGGUCUAACGUCAUGGGACUUCCGCUUUGCAACACGGUGUUCGGUGCUGGGGUGCAUAUAUUACAGUGUAGGAUCCAUCCCACUCCCUCCCCCCUCCGCUGCUGGAUUGCCCACCUGCCUCCCGGUCUCCCUCCCAUAUCUCCCGCCGGCACCAGCAGACAAUCGUCAGAUAUGCAGUGUGCUACAGCGUAAAUGCAUCACUGGGAGAAAGUGUCAGACACGGGUGCCAGAUAAACGUUUCACUGUGAAAUAUGCUGUGUGAAGCUUGUUAUACCCAAGUGUGCCACAGUAAAAUAAGCCACAUAAAAUGGUGUAUGAAAUUUAUCUAGGCUUAGAAAGGUGGUGCCAUAUAAUAUUACUCCCUCAUCAUACACAAAAAAAAUAUAACAUUUUAUUUCCCUUUUUUUUAUGAAAGCGGACUACAUAUCUGUGUUGUGUGUGGUUUUCAUGUAAUACGUCUAGAUUCAAUAAAACUUAAUUUUAAAAUGAAUUCAUGGAGAAAAAAAAAAGAACA
Bombina bombina (fire-bellied toad) is the source of this 647-nucleotide long non-coding RNA. RefSeq lists it as uncharacterized. The record is from RefSeq and is a predicted model, not a curated record. Lineage: Eukaryota; Metazoa; Chordata; Amphibia; Anura; Bombinatoridae. The transcript is spliced from 3 exons.